This 906-nucleotide ribosomal RNA is filed under the name Paraphaeosphaeria michotii. RNAcentral's name for it is "LSU rRNA". It matches the Rfam family "Eukaryotic large subunit ribosomal RNA", at positions 38 to 963 of the family's 3401-position model. The record is from RNAcentral. Lineage: Eukaryota; Fungi; Ascomycota; Dothideomycetes; Pleosporales; Didymosphaeriaceae.
GCAUAUCCAUAGCGGAGGAAAAGAAACCAACAGGGAUUGCCCUAGUAACGGCGAGUGAAGCGGCAACAGCUCAAAUUUGAAAUCUGGCUCUCUUUGGGGGUCCGAGUUGUAAUUUGCAGAGGAUGCUUUGGCAUUGGCAGCGGUCUAAGUUCCUUGGAACAGGACAUCACAGAGGGUGAGAAUCCCGUACGUGGUCGCUUGCCUUUGCCGUGUAAAGCUCCUUCGACGAGUCGAGUUGUUUGGGAAUGCAGCUCUAAAUGGGAGGUAAAUUUCUUCUAAAGCUAAAUACUGGCCAGAGACCGAUAGCGCACAAGUAGAGUGAUCGAAAGAUGAAAAGUACUUUGGAAAGAGAGUCAAAAAGCACGUGAAAUUGUUGAAAGGGAAGCGCUUGCAGCCAGACUUGCCCGCAGUUGCUCACCUAGGCUUUCGCCUGGGGCACUCUUCUGCGGGCAGGCCAGCAUCAGUUUGGGCGGUUGGAUAAAGGCCUCUGUCACGUAUCAUCCUUCGGGAUGACCUUAUAGGGGAGGCGUAAUGCAACCAGCCCGGACUGAGGUCCGCGCAUCUGCUAGGAUGCUGGCGUAAUGGCUGUAAGCGGCCCGUCUUGAAACACGGACCAAGGAGUCUAACAUCUAUGCGAGUGUUUGGGUGUCAAGCCCGAGCGCGUAAUGAAAGUGAACGGAGGUGGGAACCUUUUAGGUGCACCAUCGACCGAUCCUGAUGUCUUCGGAUGGAUUUGAGUAAGAGCAUAGCUGUUGGGACCCGAAAGAUGGUGAACUAUGCUUGAAUAGGGUGAAGCCAGAGGAAACUCUGGUGGAGGCUCGCAGCGGUUCUGACGUGCAAAUCGAUCGUCAAAUUUGGGCAUAGGGGCGAAAGACUAAUCGAACCAUCUAGUAGCUGGUCCUGCCG